Molecule: ribosomal RNA, 626 nt
Filed under: Salmonella enterica subsp. enterica serovar Bareilly
Lineage: Bacteria; Pseudomonadati; Pseudomonadota; Gammaproteobacteria; Enterobacterales; Enterobacteriaceae
Also listed under: 1 other name
Description: partial 23S ribosomal RNA
Rfam family: Bacterial large subunit ribosomal RNA
Source: RNAcentral
GUUAAGCGACUAAGCGUACACGGUGGAUGCCCUGGCAGUCAGAGGCGAUGAAGGGCGUGCUAAUCUGCGAUAAGCGCCGGUAAGGUGAUAUGAACCGUUAUAACCGGCGAUACCCGAAUGGGGAAACCCAGUGUGAUUCGUCACACUAUCAUUAACUGAAUCCAUAGGUUAAUGAGGCGAACCGGGGGAACUGAAACAUCUAAGUACCCCGAGGAAAAGAAAUCAACCGAGAUUCCCCCAGUAGCGGCGAGCGAACGGGGAGGAGCCCAGAGCCUGAAUCAGCAUGUGUGUUAGUGGAAGCGUCUGGAAAGGCGCGCGAUACAGGGUGACAGCCCCGUACACAAAAGCGCAUGUGCUGUGAGCUCGAUGAGUAGGGCGGGACACGUGGUAUCCUGUCUGAAUAUGGGGGGACCAUCCUCCAAGGCUAAAUACUCCUGACUGACCGAUAGUGAACCAGUACCGUGAGGGAAAGGCGAAAAGAACCCCGGCGAGGGGAGUGAAAAAGAACCUGAAACCGUGUACGUACAAGCAGUGGGAGCACAGGUUUACCUGUGUGACUGCGUACCUUUUGUAUAAUGGGUCAGCGACUUAUAUUCUGUAGCAAGGUUAACCGUAUAGGGGAGCCG